Molecule: transfer RNA, 72 nt
Filed under: Loxodonta africana (African savanna elephant)
Lineage: Eukaryota; Metazoa; Chordata; Mammalia; Proboscidea; Elephantidae
Rfam family: tRNA
About the family: Transfer RNA (tRNA) molecules are approximately 80 nucleotides in length. Their secondary structure includes four short double-helical elements and three loops (D, anti-codon, and T loops).
Source: Rfam by way of RNAcentral
GCCCUGGUGGCUCAACAGUUAAGUGUUUGGCUGCUAAUCAGAAGAUUGGUGGUUCAGACCCACCCAAUGGCU